UUCGCAAUGCCCGAAAGGGUGACGAUGCGACGCCGCGUGAGCGAAGAAGGCCCUAGGGUUGUAAAGCUCUGUCGGGGGUUAAGAGAUGCAGGUUGGCUAAUACCCAGCUUGUUUGACAAAGGCCCCAAAGGAAGCCACGGCUAACUCUGUGCCAGCAGCCGCGGUAAUACAGAGGUGGCAAGCGUUGUUCGGUGUUAUUGGGCGUAAAGAGCACGUAGGUGGUUUUGUAAGUCAGAUGUGAAAGCCUUCUGUUCAAAGGAAGAACGGCAUCUGAAACUGCAAAUCUUGAGUGUAGGAGGGGAGAGUGGAACUUCUGGUGGAGCGGUGAAAUGCGUAGAUAUCAGAAGGAACGUCGACGGCGAAAGCGACUCUCUGGCCUAUUACUGACACUGAGUGUGCGAAAGUUAGGGGAGCAAACGGGAUUAGAUACCCCGGUAGUCCUAACUGUAAACGAUGGGCACUAAGUAGAGGGGUUUUA
RNAcentral lists this ribosomal RNA (478 nucleotides) under uncultured anaerobic ammonium-oxidizing bacterium. RNAcentral describes it as "bacterial SSU rRNA". It matches the Rfam family "Bacterial small subunit ribosomal RNA", at positions 365 to 833 of the family's 1533-position model. The record is from RNAcentral.